UUUGGCUCGGCUCGGGCGCGUCGAACAGACGCCGGACGGACAGCACCUCCCCUGUCCGCCCAAGGCUAACAACGAGAUUGUGUACAACAAGUUCCCAGGAAACUAACUUGAAUACAUACACAAUCAAUAAUUACAACGAGAGCACAAUCGGUGCAAAACAACCAAGAGCAAGAUACAAGUAUAGAACAUACAAGUAAUGAUAAAGAGAGGAACAUCUAUCGAUUACAUUCAUUCAGCCUUUAUAAUACAACUUGAUUAUGCAUUAAGCUUCUAAACAUAAUAUAAGGCUUACAUCUUCCAAAAUACAAACACUACUUACAUUCAUCCCAAAAUAGCUCACAACCUAUACAUCAUCUACUCUCAAUGUAUAUAAAGGUAACUCUAAUGCAGAAAUAGGAAAGUAAACUAAUGCAACUAGGGCGCUAGGCCCUUACCGCGAUCCUCGCCGUGUGAACUCGCUCUCGGCCCUGUAGUAAAAUGGGGGUGAGAACUAACUUCCUUAGUUCCCAGUGGGUUCGGCCGCCGACUCCGCCGAUCUCCCCACUAGGUCCAAGUUCGGCACAAGUAGAUAAUCGAUAGAUAGAUAGAUAAGGAAAGCGGUAAAUGACAGAGGUAAAGCCACGCUACUAUGCCCAAUCAUAAAUAUAUGAAUGCAUGUACAAUGAAAUAGGUAAGCAGCUAACCUGUUAUCAUGUCCAAAGGUAAAGAUAUUCACUCGUUCGUUUACCUCAUUUAUUCAUCAAUCUCAUGGCUUACCCGGAGGCUCGCCUACAGCUCACUAGCCAUCUCGACACGUAGGGAGAAUUAACUCACACUACGGACCCGAGACCGUCUGGCGGGGCCAAAUAGGCAAUCCCUUGGGACCCAAAAUAGGCAAUCCCACGUGACCAACUCCGGAGCGCACUACUUGUGUGGGGCUUCCAUCACAAGAUUUAAAAACAGACCGUGAGCAUGAUCCAAUCCUCGUCUCAAGAAUACCCUAUCCUCUAGGGUUACAACCAUCAUAGAGUCCAUAGGUUUCAUAUACACUAUGACUCACAUAUGCCACUUGUUCUUUUGUUUCCUAUCAACUAGAUGCCACUCGUUCUUUACAAGUUUCCAAUGCAAUAGCCAAUGCAUUAUUAAAUUCCCAUCCACACUUAUCAUCUCAUUAUAGGGUUCCACAUCACAUAUAUAAACCUCAAGCAUGCUAGAUAUAAGUAUUAAGCCAAAUACAUUAUUCUACCAAAGAACAUGCAAGGUAUAGGACCAAACCAUCAUUUAUCACCCUAUAAUGCAAGAUGUCAAUAUGUCAAUAUGCAAUUUGAUCAAUAUAAAACUUAGACAUAAAAGGGAGCCCGAUUGCUUCGGGAUGGACACCACCCACCUUUUACAGCGUUCCGAUUGCUCGUCGUCACUUGCAAUCGGCCUCCCGCGGCGCACGCCGCUCGGCUUGACCCAAUCCGCGCGCGCGACCACCAAACGACCUCCGAUCCGCGAUCCAGAAAUUA
This 1490-nucleotide long non-coding RNA is filed under the name Ananas comosus (pineapple). RNAcentral's name for it is "long non-coding RNA (ACOM_LNC003576)". The record is from RNAcentral. Lineage: Eukaryota; Viridiplantae; Streptophyta; Magnoliopsida; Poales; Bromeliaceae.